Molecule: ribosomal RNA, 292 nt
Filed under: uncultured bacterium
Lineage: Bacteria
Description: partial 16S ribosomal RNA
Rfam family: Bacterial small subunit ribosomal RNA
Source: RNAcentral
GUGCCAGCAGCCGCGGUAAUACAGAGGGUGCAAGCGUUGUUCGGAAUUACUGGGCGUAAAGCGCGUGUAGGCGGCGAUCUAAGUCGGAUGUGAAAGCCCUCGGCUUAACCGAGGAAGUGCAUUCGAUACUGGGUUGCUUGAGUACCGGAGGGGAUGGCGGAAUUCCUGGUGUAGAGGUGAAAUUCGUAGAUAUCAGGAGGAACACCUGUGGCGAAGGCGGCCAUCUGGACGGUAACUGACGCUGAGACGCGAAAGCGUGGGUAGCAAACAGGAUUAGAAACCCGGGUAGUCC